GUGAGGAAUAUUGCGCAAUGGAGGCAACUCUGACGCAGCCAUGCCGCGUGCAGGAAGAAGGCGCUACGCGUUGUAAACUGCUUUUAACCGGGAAGAAACCCCAGGACGUGUCCUGGGUUGACGGUACCGGAGGAAUAAGCACCGGCUAACUUCGUGCCAGCAGCCGCGGUAAUACGAAGGGUGCAAGCGUUAUCCGGAUUCAUUGGGUUUAAAGGGUGCGUAGGCGGAGCGUUAAGUCAGUGGUGAAAUCCUGCAGCUUAACUGUAGACUUGCCAUUGAUACUGGCGCUCUUGAGUGCGCUUGAAGUGGGCGGAAUGUGCCGUGUAGCGGUGAAAUGCUUAGAUAUGGCACAGAACACCAAUUGCGAAGGCAGCUUGCUGAACCAUUAUUGACGCUGAGGCACGAAAGCGUGGGGAGCGAACAGGAUUAGAAACCCUUGUAGUCC
This 445-nucleotide ribosomal RNA is filed under the name uncultured bacterium. RNAcentral describes it as "partial 16S ribosomal RNA". It matches the Rfam family "Bacterial small subunit ribosomal RNA", at positions 354 to 796 of the family's 1533-position model. The record is from RNAcentral.